Molecule: ribosomal RNA, 305 nt
Filed under: uncultured bacterium
Lineage: Bacteria
Description: bacterial SSU rRNA
Rfam family: Bacterial small subunit ribosomal RNA
Source: RNAcentral
GCCUACGGGACGCAGCAGUAGGGAAUUUUCGUCAAUGGGCGCAAGCCUGAACGAGCGAUGCCGCGUGAGUGAAGAAGGCCUUCGGGUCGUAAAGCUCUGUUGCGGGGGAAAAAAGGCAGCAUCAGGAAAUGGGUGCUGACUGAUGGUGCCCCGCCAGAAAGUCACGGCUAACUACGUGCCAGCAGCCGCGGUAAUACGGAGGAUGCGAGCGUUAUCCGGAUUUAUUGGGUUUAAAGGGUGCGCAGGCGGUCUGUUAAGUCAGCGGUCAAAGCCCGGGGCUCAACCCCGGCCCGCCGUUGAAACUG